This 274-nucleotide long non-coding RNA is filed under the name Phoenix dactylifera (date palm). RNAcentral describes it as "long non-coding RNA (PDAC_LNC013608)". The record is from RNAcentral. Lineage: Eukaryota; Viridiplantae; Streptophyta; Magnoliopsida; Arecales; Arecaceae.
AUAUGGUGAUACAAAAUCCACAAUCAACUUAUAGCCUUGAUUUAUAAAUAUUUAACUCACAAGAAUCUAAUAAUCUGGUUCAAAGAUUUACAAGAAAUUCCACCAAGAUAUAAGCUCUAUGAUUUUACAUUGAGAUCAACUCCUCAAAUAAGUAAAAUAUUUUUAUUUGCAGUACUGCAAACAUUUCGGGAUCUUGUAAAUCUACUAAUAACACAAUGAUAUCCAUAUUGAUCAAAAUCAAAAGUACUAUACUUUCCAACGAUCUUUUUUUUUU